Molecule: ribosomal RNA, 1790 nt
Filed under: Salmonella enterica subsp. enterica serovar Stanley
Lineage: Bacteria; Pseudomonadati; Pseudomonadota; Gammaproteobacteria; Enterobacterales; Enterobacteriaceae
Description: partial 23S ribosomal RNA
Rfam family: Bacterial large subunit ribosomal RNA
Source: RNAcentral
UGAGUAGGGCGGGACACGUGGUAUCCUGUCUGAAUAUGGGGGGACCAUCCUCCAAGGCUAAAUACUCCUGACUGACCGAUAGUGAACCAGUACCGUGAGGGAAAGGCGAAAAGAACCCCGGCGAGGGGAGUGAAAAAGAACCUGAAACCGUGUACGUACAAGCAGUGGGAGCACAGGUUUACCUGUGUGACUGCGUACCUUUUGUAUAAUGGGUCAGCGACUUAUAUUCUGUAGCAAGGUUAACCGUAUAGGGGAGCCGGAGGGAAACCGAGUCUUAAUUGGGCGUUAAGUUGCAGGGUAUAGACCCGAAACCCGGUGAUCUAGCCAUGGGCAGGUUGAAGGUUGGGUAACACUAACUGGAGGACCGAACCGACUAAUGUUGAAAAAUUAGCGGAUGACCUGUGGCUGGGGGUGAAAGGCCAAUCAAACCGGGAGAUAGCUGGUUCUCCCCGAAAGCUAUUUAGGUAGCGCCUCGUGAAUUCAUCUCCGGGGGUAGAGCACUGUUUCGGCUAGGGGGCCAUCCCGGCUUACCAACCCGAUGCAAACUGCGAAUACCGGAGAAUGUUAUCACGGGAGACACACGGCGGGUGCUAACGUCCGUCGUGAAGAGGGAAACAACCCAGACCGCCAGCUAAGGUCCCAAAGUCAUGGUUAAGUGGGAAACGAUGUGGGAAGGCCCAGACAGCCAGGAUGUUGGCUUAGAAGCAGCCAUCAUUUAAAGAAAGCGUAAUAGCUCACUGGUCGAGUCGGCCUGCGCGGAAGAUGUAACGGGGCUAAACCAUGCACCGAAGCUGCGGCAGCGACACUGUGUGUUGUUGGGUAGGGGAGCGUUCUGUAAGCCUGUGAAGGUGUGUCGUGAGGCAUGCUGGAGGUAUCAGAAGUGCGAAUGCUGACAUAAGUAACGAUAAAGCGGGUGAAAAGCCCGCUCGCCGGAAGACCAAGGGUUCCUGUCCAACGUUAAUCGGGGCAGGGUGAGUCGACCCCUAAGGCGAGGCCGAAAGGCGUAGUCGAUGGGAAACGGGUUAAUAUUCCCGUACUUGGUGUUACUGCGAAGGGGGGACGGAGAAGGCUAUGUUGGCCGGGCGACGGUUGUCCCGGUUUAAGCGUGUAGGUGUGUGUUCCAGGUAAAUCCGGUUCACUUUAACACUGAGGCGUGACGACGAGGCACUACGGUGCUGAAGCAACAAAUGCCCUGCUUCCAGGAAAAGCCUCUAAGCAUCAGGUAACAUCAAAUCGUACCCCAAACCGACACAGGUGGUCAGGUAGAGAAUACCAAGGCGCUUGAGAGAACUCGGGUGAAGGAACUAGGCAAAAUGGUGCCGUAACUUCGGGAGAAGGCACGCUGACACGUAGGUGAAGUGAUUUACUCAUGGAGCUGAAGUCAGUCGAAGAUACCAGCUGGCUGCAACUGUUUAUUAAAAACACAGCACUGUGCAAACACGAAAGUGGACGUAUACGGUGUGACGCCUGCCCGGUGCCGGAAGGUUAAUUGAUGGGGUCAGCGCAAGCGAAGCUCCUGAUCGAAGCCCCGGUAAACGGCGGCCGUAACUAUAACGGUCCUAAGGUAGCGAAAUUCCUUGUCGGGUAAGUUCCGACCUGCACGAAUGGCGUAAUGAUGGCCAGGCUGUCUCCACCCGAGACUCAGUGAAAUUGAACUCGCUGUGAAGAUGCAGUGUACCCGCGGCAAGACGGAAAGACCCCGUGAACCUUUACUAUAGCUUGACACUGAACAUUGAGCCUUGAUGUGUAGGAUAGGUGGGAGGCUUUGAAGCGUGGACGCCAGUCUGCGU